Molecule: long non-coding RNA, 240 nt
Organism: Hippocampus comes (tiger tail seahorse)
Lineage: Eukaryota; Metazoa; Chordata; Actinopteri; Syngnathiformes; Syngnathidae
Exons: 2
Source: RefSeq, a predicted model, not a curated record
UCUAAAUUGACACAAAAAUGUCAGGUAUUUUAUUUACCUCCUACUACGCUAUCUGAGAUAAAAAUACCUUAUCCGAACUUAAUAAGGAAUCAUUUUGGGACAAAUUAAUACACUAUAUUUGUUGCAGACAUUUAAAUCAGGAAGUAAAUUAGGGAUUCGAUUGACUAAACUGUAACCAUCAACUAAAAUGUGAAUUUGUAUGUGUCACUUCAAUAAUAAAGGGAUAUGGUCCUGCCAUGA